This 73-nucleotide transfer RNA is filed under the name candidate division Zixibacteria bacterium SM1_73. RNAcentral's name for it is "tRNA-Asn". It matches the Rfam family "tRNA". From Rfam's summary of the family: Transfer RNA (tRNA) molecules are approximately 80 nucleotides in length. Lineage: Bacteria; Pseudomonadati; Candidatus Zixiibacteriota. The record is from RNAcentral. RNAcentral also lists the same sequence under 3 other names.
UCCCGCGUAACUCAGUUGGUAGAGUGGGUGGCUGUUAACCACCUUGUCGCUGGUUCGAGUCCAGCCGCGGGAG